RNAcentral lists this ribosomal RNA (486 nucleotides) under uncultured bacterium. RNAcentral's name for it is "bacterial SSU rRNA". It matches the Rfam family "Bacterial small subunit ribosomal RNA", at positions 8 to 507 of the family's 1533-position model. The record is from RNAcentral.
AGAGUUUGAUCAUGGCUCAGGACGAACGCUGGCGGCGUGCUUAACACAUGCAAGUCGAACGGUGAACCAGAGCUUGCUCUGGGGAUCAGUGGCGAACGGGUGAGUAACACGUGGGCAACCUGCCCCAGACUCUGGGAUAACCUCGGGAAACCGAUGCUAAUACCGGAUACGACCACUUCGGACAUCCGACGGUGGUGGAAAGUUUUUCGGUCUGGGAUGGGCCCGCGGCCUAUCAGCUAGUUGGUGGGGUAAUGGCCUACCAAGGCGACGACGGGUAGCCGGCCUGAGAGGGCGACCGGCCACACUGGAACUGAGACACGGUCCAGACUCCUACGGGAGGCAGCAGUGGGGAAUAUUGCACAAUGGGCGAAAGCCUGAUGCAGCGACGCCGCGUGAGGGACGACGGCCUUCGGGUUGUAAACCUCUUUCAGCAGGGACGAAGCGAAAGUGACUGUACCUGCAGAAGAAGCACCGGCUAACUACGUG